This 1852-nucleotide small RNA is filed under the name Rattus norvegicus (Norway rat). Its description in RNAcentral is "uncharacterized LOC108352553". The record is from RNAcentral. Lineage: Eukaryota; Metazoa; Chordata; Mammalia; Rodentia; Muridae.
AACUUAUUAACAGAAACAGAGAUAGGGAUGCAUGCAAGUGGAAGGCAAGAUGAAGAUCAACUAGCUAAGGUCCUUGGUUGCCAUGGUGAUAAUGGUAAGUAUCAAUAGUGUGAUGUAACCUGACCGCUUUCAUCAAUAAUUAAGGUUAUGCAUGGAUAAAUAGAUAAAUUGAAAGCAUUGGAAGGCUGACCAGGGCACAAAUAGGAAACUCAGAAAGUCUGUGUGAAGCCUCUCGAAAGUCGCUGCCUCCCCUGAAAAUGUUCCGUAGAGGUGAGGCUCGACCUAGGGUCUGAGCAUUAUGACAUCAGUGUCUGUCUUGCUAUGGAUCCCUAGGGAUUGCUGGCCAGCCAGUAUAGCUGAAAUGGAGAAUGGUGGGUUCAGUCGGAGAUCCUGUCUCAAAAACUAAGGUGAAGAGGGUAGAGGAAGAGCAGAUCCUUAAGACAUGAAGUGGAAACAUUUGGGCAAACACAGCGAGGCUAAGGCCUUUGAACAUCAACAGCAUCUCAAUCAGUAAUGACAAUGCAGGAAAGGUCUAGCAGAUAAUGGAUCGACUCUUCCCAGGGAUGAUGCCUGACAGACUUGAUAGACACAAGGCAGCCAGCGAACCUGCGUAAUGAUGUGACAUCCUUAUGCCAGAGCCUUCCAUCGUGGAUUAAGGGCCAGCAGCUCUCCAGGGAUCCUCUAGGCUUCCAGUGACAGAUUGGAACUUGUGAGGCAUCCAUCCCAGUGGGCUGAGAAAGUCCCAGGUUCUCAGCUUCUCCAGUGUGCCCACAGCCACGUGGGACAACUCAACCCGUAUCAAGUAAGCCAGUCUGCGGCUGCCCGUGUCUGGAUCCACCACAUUUCCUUUGUGUGUUCGCUCCUUCAUCAGCUCAUGGAUGUUGGAUGGUUCUACAUACAUCUGGCCCAGGAAUGAUAAGAACAUUUACAUACAAGGCUGCAUGGAUGCAAGGCUGGCUUAAAUGUGCCUGGGAGAAGAAUCUCUGGGAACUCUGGGCAACAUUGUGAGGAACCACUAGACUCUUCCGAAUUUGCUGCACCAUUUUUACCACAAAGGCAGUUUUCAGUUCCCGUGUAGCCUGGCCAUUAGCUCUGGCUGUUAGCCAUCCUUAUUCCAGCCAUACUGCCAGGAGCUAUUUCUCACUGUGGUCUGGGUGUGCGCUUUCCCGUCGGUUGGUGAAGGACACUUUCUAGUUUCCUCGUUGGGGGAGGGGGGCGUUUUUUGAAAAUCGUUUCAGAUUCUUUGCUCCCUUUAAAACUAGAAUUUGCACAUCAUUAUCAGGUGGUAAGAGUCCCUUUUUACCCUCUUGAUAGAAAUCCUUUGUUACAAAGGACCUGCAGCUCUUUUUCCCAUUGUGUGGGUGGCUUUUCAGAUUCUCACGGUGCCCCGUGGUGUCUUCAUGAUGCUAUUAUAAAAUGCUGUAAGCUGGGUAGCUUAGUAAGAAGAAAAGUUUAUUCCUUACAGGGCGAAGGUCAGAAGCUCAUGAUGAAAGCGUGCAGAGAUUUAGCAUCUGGUUAGGCUUCCUCCAAGAUGGCUUUUACUGCAACCUCGAGUAUGUUAAAGUGUUAAGUUAUGGGCUGGAGCAAUGACUUCACAAUUAAGAGCAUUUGCUGUCCCCCCCCCCACCAGGGGACUUGAGUUUCGUAUGAACAUCCAUAUCAGGUAGUUCACCAUAACCCCAGCUCCAGGGGAUCUAACGCCCUCCUCUGGCCAUUACAGGUACUGCACUCGAGUGACAUACACAGAUACAUAUACACAAAUAAAAUAUAAUUUUAAGACAAGAGUAAGUUCUGUGUAGGCAGAUAUUGUUAUGUUUAUAAAUUAUUCAUAGUACUUAGAGCAGCAUCUGGC